This is a long non-coding RNA of Aphis gossypii (cotton aphid), 1996 nucleotides long. RefSeq lists it as uncharacterized. The transcript is spliced from 3 exons. NCBI's taxonomy places the organism in Eukaryota, Metazoa, Arthropoda, Insecta, Hemiptera, Aphididae. The record is from RefSeq and is a predicted model, not a curated record.
GAUGAAUUUUUAUCCACGAAUCUAUAAUGUAUUAACAAAUUAAUAUUAUUACUAAGUGUUAAUUUUAGUGUUAAACAAACGUCAGAAAAAAUGUACACGCCUAAAAUUUUAAUUUUCUAUUCAGUUAUACCAACCGAAAUCUUCAACUAUUUGUCUACUUUAUUACACGCAGUACCUAUACACAAUAGUACUAUAUAUACCUAUAGUAACUACACAACGCCACGCGUGCGCACACGUGUUACUUUGUCCAAGCUGUUGGUAGUCAUUAUUCUCGAAACAAUGAGGAGGCCUAAGUUCAAUCGUGCGCGGAUUCAGUAACCGCAAACUCGAGAUGAAUAGAUAGAGAUACCUAACUGCUGUACUCUACAGUACCUAUGCAUAUGUGUUUGCCCACAGUGCCCUUCCAAAACAUUUUUCAUUAUUCGUGUUGUUUCUCUCGGGAGUUAUGCCUCACAAACUACCAAUGUGUAGGUAUAUGCCUGGUAUAUAUGGCGGCCGUCACGACCGCUGCAGUGGAUGACCAGUCACGGAUUUUUUUCUUUGAGAUGCUACAAUUCACUAAUAUAUACUAUAUAUAAAUAAUUUACGAGUAUUACAAAGGUGAAAAUCGGGGGAAUUGUUCGACAAUAUAUUUAGUUUCUAGAUUGUCAUUUAAUUAGUGUCACCGUGCGUCUUAUUACUUUUAAAUCAUUGCCUGUUACGUUGUGAAUAUUAUUUUAUUUUUCGAUAUUUUUCAUCAGUUGUCACGAAUAUGUAUACAAAACGUAUAUACUAUUCAAAAGUUGUGUGCUAUUGUUAUCAGGUUGAUCAAAAUUAUAUUUUUAAUAUUAAUAUUUUAUAUUGAUGUAUAUUGUCAAUUAUCAUCAUUUAUCAUUUUUACUUAUAUCAUUUUAUUUUGAAGAAUAUUUUUUUGUCAGUUUGUUGUUAUUUUUGUUUUCUAUUUAGUAUUUAUACAUAUUUUAAAUAAAAUCCUUCCUCAGAGUAAAACGAUGAAUUCCUACCAGGGUCAAUUUUUACGCACGAAACCAGACAGUUGUGGCCGUGGUCCUCUCUACUCAGUUUUAUCGCUCUGCUACACUGAAGUAUCGAUUAGUACUCAAUUUUAACGGGUGUAAUAUACCGAGUGCUCGUACAUAUAUCUAUAAUGCAUUGCCAGAUUAGAUUUACCUAUCACGGUACUGAAGGAUAAUAAAACACUUAUAUUUUAUGAAACUAUACAUCCCUACAAACAGUAGAACUGUAAAAGUAUAUAAUAAUAAACACUCGUAUUCAGAAUAAUUAGUUAAAAACAAUUUACAUUAUACAUUAAUAGUAAACAUAGAUAAUAUAAUUAAUUUUAAAUCAAUGUUAAUUUCUUACUUUUUCUCGGAUUUUUCAACAUAUGUAUUAUUUGCUAGUAUUGUAUAUACCUAAUGUAUAUUCAUUUUUGUUUCAGGUUAGUACAUAUCCAAGUUCCAUAUAAUAAAAACUCCGUAAUUUGUAAAUUUUAAUUUAAACAUCUAUGACGUAUCAUCAAAUUAACUGUAAACGUUCUCUUCCAAUCGGUUAAAGUGCUUGGGGAAUGUGGGGGCGCAUCCUUAAUACGUGAGUACAUUAUUUUCUCGUCCAACGUUAAUGUCUUCAAUCGUACUUUCCCCUUCAAAAAAUCGAUUCCGUCUUACCGUAGUGUUUUAUUUUUUACUUGGAUUUUGUCAUCGAGAUUCGGGGCAAAUAUAAAGUGCGACUUAAUGCAGUGAAUACAUUACGUAUUGACAAAUGUCUUUGGUGGCCACGGGAUAAGACUAUAUAAUAUCGAGAUCGACAGAAAUUAAUUGUUUAACGUAUUUGGAACUAUCCGAGGUAACCUGAAUUCGAUUAAUUUUCUUUUAUACCAUAAAUUAUCGUUAUUCAUAAAAUGUUGAUGUUCUUUUAAAGCUAUUUAAAUUCUAUAGUACACGAAAUAUACGUAAUUAUAAUAGUUUAGGUAUAUUUUAUUUUAUAGGUACCUAAUACUAUU